This 391-nucleotide long non-coding RNA is filed under the name Capsicum annuum. Its description in RNAcentral is "long non-coding RNA (CANN_LNC013740)". Lineage: Eukaryota; Viridiplantae; Streptophyta; Magnoliopsida; Solanales; Solanaceae. The record is from RNAcentral.
UUUUUAUAGUAAUCAUAGCAAUACUCCUAAGUGCAGACUUUCCUACACACCCUGUGCUUCCUCGACCUCUACCUCUACCUCGAGUCAUAGCUAUUAAAAAACUGUAUUAGGUAAGUGGAAAUAAGAUACAAACUGAAUAAUCCCAAAAGAACCACAAAUAUGCUAUAAGGUAUCAGAAAAUCUAAAAGCACAUAAAUAUGUAACAUUGGAAUCCUACAGAAACUAAUUAUGUCCACAUGUAACAUUGGAGUCCUAUAGUAAAUAUGUAAUUUUGUGCACAUAUAACACUGGAAUCCUACAGAAUACUCCCAAUAACAUAGAAUAUUAUAAUUCUGUGCACAAGAACUCCUCUCAAAUCAAGAAUCACCAAUAGAUCAUCAACCUAAAAAAC